UUAUCGGUGGUUGAGUGGGUUAAAAGUCAAGCUUCACUCACUUAAUAUUUUGUGGUGUUUGGUUCGAAUCCAAGUCUGGGAAA
Molecule: non-coding RNA, 83 nt
Organism: Meloidogyne enterolobii
Lineage: Eukaryota; Metazoa; Nematoda; Chromadorea; Rhabditida; Meloidogynidae
Source: the annotation of a GenBank genome assembly